AUGAACGCUGGCGGCGUGCCUAAUACAUGCAAGUCGAGCGAACAGACGAGGAGCUUGCUCCUCUGACGUUAGCGGCGGACGGGUGAGUAACACGUGGAUAACCUACCUAUAAGACUGGGAUAACUUCGGGAAACCGGAGCUAAUACCGGAUAAUAUAUUGAACCGCAUGGUUCAAUAGUGAAAGACGGUUUUGCUGUCACUUAUAGAUGGAUCCGCGCCGCAUUAGCUAGUUGGUAAGGUAACGGCUUACCAAGGCAACGAUGCGCAGCCGACCUGAGAGGGUGAUCGGCCACACUGGAACUGAGACACGGUCCAGACUCCUACGGGAGGCAGCAGUAGGGAAUCUUCCGCAAUGGGCGAAAGCCUGACGGAGCAACGCCGCGUGAGUGAUGAAGGUCUUCGGAUCGUAAAACUCUGUUAUUAGGGAAGAACAAAUGUGUAAGUAACUAUGCACGUCUUGACGGUACCUAAUCAGAAAGCCACGGCUAACUACGUG
This 496-nucleotide ribosomal RNA is filed under the name uncultured bacterium. RNAcentral's name for it is "partial 16S ribosomal RNA". It matches the Rfam family "Bacterial small subunit ribosomal RNA", at positions 29 to 507 of the family's 1533-position model. The record is from RNAcentral.